Molecule: transfer RNA, 71 nt
Filed under: Stegodyphus mimosarum
Lineage: Eukaryota; Metazoa; Arthropoda; Arachnida; Araneae; Eresidae
Rfam family: tRNA
About the family: Transfer RNA (tRNA) molecules are approximately 80 nucleotides in length. Their secondary structure includes four short double-helical elements and three loops (D, anti-codon, and T loops). Further hydrogen bonds mediate the characteristic L-shaped molecular structure. tRNAs have two regions of fundamental functional importance: the anti-codon, which is responsible for specific mRNA codon recognition, and the 3' end, to which the tRNAs corresponding amino acid is attached (by aminoacyl-tRNA synthetases). tRNAs cope with the degeneracy of the genetic code in two manners: having more than one tRNA (with a specific anti-codon) for a particular amino acid; and 'wobble' base-pairing, i.e. permitting non-standard base-pairing at the 3rd anti-codon position.
Source: Rfam by way of RNAcentral
GCCUUCGUGGUGUAACGGUAGCACACUCGGCGAUUAUUCAGGAGGUUUAGGUUCAAAUCCCGGCGAGGGCA